GGCCCAUAUUCCUACGGGAGGCAGCAGUAGGGAAUUUNNNACAAUGGGCGCAAGCCUGAUGGAGCAACACCGCGUGAGUGAAGAAGGGUUUCGGCUCGUAAAGCUCUGUUGUUAAAGAAGAACACGUAUGAGAGUAACUGUUCAUACGUUGACGGUAUUUAACCAGAAAGUCACGGCUAACUACGUGCCAGCAGCCGCGGUAAUACGUAGGUGGCAAGCGUUAUCCGGAUUUAUUGGGCGUAAAGAGAGUGCAGGCGGUUUUCUAAGUCUGAUGUGAAAGCCUUCGGCUUAACCGGAGAAGUGCAUCGGAAACUGGAUAACUUGAGUGCAGAAGAGGGUAGUGGAACUCCAUGUGUAGCGGUGGAAUGCGUAGAUAUAUGGAAGAACACCAGUGGCGAAGGCGGCUACCUGGUCUGCAACUGACGCUGAGACUCGAAAGCAUGGGUAGCGAACAGGAUUAGAUACCCUGGUAGUCCAUGCCGUAAACGAUGAGUGCUAGGUGUUGGAGGGUUUCCGCCCUUCAGUGCCGGAGCUAACGCAUUAAGCACUCCGCCUGGGGAGUACGACCGCAAGGUUGAAACUCAAAGGAAUUNNCGGGGGCCCGCACAAGCGGUGGAGCAUGUGGUUUAAUUCGAAGCUACGCGAAGAACCUUACCAGGUCUUGACAUCUUGCGCCAACCCUAGAGAUAGGGCGUUUCCUUCGGGAACGCAAUGACAGGUGGUGCAUGGUCGUCGUCAGCUCGUGUCGUGAGAUGUUGGGUUAAGUCCCGCAACGAGCGCAACCCUUGUUACUAGUUGCCAGCAUUAAGUUGGGCACUCUAGUGAGACUGCCGGUGACAAACCGGAGGAAGGUGGGGACGACGUCAGAUCAUCAUGCCCCUUAUGACCUGGGCUACACACGUGCUACAAUGGACGGUACAACGAGUCGCGAACUCGCGAGGGCAAGCAAAUCUCUUAAAACCGUUCUCAGUUCGGACUGCAGGCUGCAACUCGCCUGCACGAAGUCGGAAUCGCNAG
This 1017-nucleotide ribosomal RNA is filed under the name Limosilactobacillus fermentum. RNAcentral describes it as "bacterial SSU rRNA". It matches the Rfam family "Bacterial small subunit ribosomal RNA", at positions 328 to 1338 of the family's 1533-position model. The record is from RNAcentral. Lineage: Bacteria; Bacillati; Bacillota; Bacilli; Lactobacillales; Lactobacillaceae.